Molecule: long non-coding RNA, 651 nt
Organism: Haliotis rubra (blacklip abalone)
Lineage: Eukaryota; Metazoa; Mollusca; Gastropoda; Lepetellida; Haliotidae
Exons: 2
Source: RefSeq, a predicted model, not a curated record
AUAGUGCUAAGAUCGCUUUAACUCCUCCUAUACAUUGGUUUACAGUAAUCAUUGGCUAAGAUCGCUUUAACUCCUAUACUUAAACAUUGGUUUACGAUAAUCAUAGUGCUAAGAUCGCUUUAACUCCUAUACUUAAACAUUGGUUUACAGUAAUCGUAGUGCUAAGAUCGCUUUAACUCCUAUACUUAAACAUUGGUUUACAGUAAUAAUCAUAGUGCUAAGAUCGCUUUAACUCCUAUACUUAAACAUUGGUUUACGAUAAUCAUAGUGCUAAGAUCGCUUUAACUCCUAUGUUAACCACUGGGCCAGGUUCCUAACCUUUAUGAGUAGCAUAACUUCGCAUAAUAAAUUGCUUUAUUAUAUGCAAGAAUAGCACUUUAAUAUUAAAACUUUGGAGUGUGAAAAGUUCGUUCCAAUAUACAUUUAUGUCACAAGAACAUCAGUAACUUAACAAUUACAUUUAAUCUGAGGAACUUGUCAUUCAUGGAAGUACCUUGUUUUGAUCCAAGGUCUUCCAAUAAUCAUGUUCGAGCCCAUGUAUGCCAAGGUAAAUUUGUUCAGGAACCUUCAAUACAUUGUUUGCCCAUUAGCAAUGUUGAAUUUCUAACAAAGUGUUGUAAUGAAAACAGGCAAAUGAUGAAUAUUGCAAAA